This 582-nucleotide unclassified non-coding RNA is filed under the name uncultured fungus. RNAcentral describes it as "sequence contains ITS1, 5.8S rRNA gene and ITS2". The stretch from base 215 to 368 matches the Rfam family "5.8S ribosomal RNA". Lineage: Eukaryota; Fungi. The record is from RNAcentral.
CUUGGUCAUUUAGAGGAAGUAAAAGUCGUAACAAGGUUUCCGUAGGUGAACCUGCGGAAGGAUCAUUCAUAAUAAGUGUUUUAUGGCACUUUUUAAAUCCAUAUCCACCUUGUGUGCAAUGUCAAUCGAUCUUCUUCAUGGAGAUCGGCCAAACAUCAACCUUAUCUUUUAACUCUUUGUCUGAAAAAUAUUAUGAAUAAACAAUUCAAAAUACAACUUUCAACAACGUAUCUCUUGGCUCUCGCAUCGAUGAAGAACGCAGCGAAAUGCGAUACGUAAUGUGAAUUGCAGAAUUCAGUGAAUCAUCGAAUCUUUGAACGCACAUUGCGCCCGCCAGUAUUCUGGCGGGCAUGCCUGUUCGAGCGUCAUUUCAACCAUCAAGCCCCCGGCUUGUGUUGGGGACCUGCGGCUGCCGCAGGCCCUGAAAUGCAGUGGCGGGCUCGCUGUCACUCCGAGCGUAGUAGUUACAUCUCGCUCUGGGCGUGCUGCGGGUUCCGGCCGUUAAAAGCCUUAUUUACCCAAGGUUGACCUCGGAUCAGGUAGGAAGACCCGCUGAACUUAAGCAUAUCAAUAAGCGGAGGA